RNAcentral lists this ribosomal RNA (373 nucleotides) under uncultured soil bacterium. Its description in RNAcentral is "bacterial SSU rRNA". It matches the Rfam family "Bacterial small subunit ribosomal RNA", at positions 26 to 398 of the family's 1533-position model. The record is from RNAcentral.
AGAUUGAACGCUGGCGGCAGGCCUAACACAUGCAAGUCGAGCGGUAGAGAGGUGCUUGCACCUCUUGAGAGCGGCGGACGGGUGAGUAAUGCCUAGGAAUCUGCCUAGUGGUGGGGGAUAACGUUCGGAAACGGACGCUAAUACCGCAUACGUCCUACGGGAGAAAGCGGGGGACCUUCGGGCCUCGCGCCAUUAGAUGAGCCUAGGUCGGAUUAGCUAGUUGGUGAGGUAAUGGCUCACCAAGGCGACGAUCCGUAACUGGUCUGAGAGGAUGAUCAGUCACACUGGAACUGAGACACGGUCCAGACUCCUACGGGAGCAGCAGUGGGGGAAUAUUGGACAAGUGGGACGAAAGCCUGAUCCAGCCAUCGCC